Molecule: long non-coding RNA, 4758 nt
Organism: Apus apus (common swift)
Lineage: Eukaryota; Metazoa; Chordata; Aves; Apodiformes; Apodidae
Exons: 3
Source: RefSeq, a predicted model, not a curated record
UUAUUUCAGCUCUAGUCUGAGAGAUGGCAAGGAAUGGAAUAGACUACAAAAUAUAUUUUUCAUGUUUUGAAUGCACCCAACGUGAUGACUAAUGCAACCUAAAAGGUAAGUAAAACCAUACUGAGAUUUCACUUGCAUCAAAUAAAGAUUUGACUUAUUUCACCCGACCAAGAGGAGCACAGUGCAACCCCAUCUGAGAUGACCUGGGCUGUUUAUUUUAUUCCUACAAGUUACAUAGGUUUCAGACUGGUUUUGCCAUACUUAGUCAGGCCAUGUAGGUGCUGGAAGGCUUUGCAUGGGGAAGAAAUUUUUUGACAAGCAUAAAAAAUGAGAAAAGAAACCAGAAAUCCCUGUGAUAAAUACAAACUGACAGCAUCCCUCAGAUGGCAGGUUUGAAUUAACCUUUAGUCCCUUAUAAAUAUGCAGCAGUUUUGAUAUGCUUUUCUGAAACAGAAUGUUUACGGAUCUUAGUUCAUCCAUCAUCAGAGUAAGAAGGUAAAGAAUAACUUGCAUGACAGCUAUAAUUCAAAAGUAUACAUCCUAGUCCUUGAACCAGUUUAGUAUUUGUAGCAUUGGUUUCCACUGUAGUAAACUAACAGUCAACUGGCUAUGAAGCACAUUUGCAAGUGAUACGGAGAAGUUGCUGAGUGGAAAGCUGAAGUAUGUACCAAGUAAAUUAUUUCAUUGCAAACUGUUUUAUUUACUCACACAUCCUUAUUACUGUCAGUAUUUUUUGUUACAUCCUGAGGUCUUAAAAUUCUGCACUUUCUUUCUGUGCUGCCUUCUGUUGAAAAGGGAAGAGAUUUUUUGACAGCUGUAGCUGUAAUAUGUCAAGAAGCCUGAAAUUUCAGAAGAUACUUCAAAACUUCAGAGGAUGUGAAACCAUUUUACUCCCUUUCCAUAUGUUUGUAAGUAAUCCACCAAACCUGUACAAACUGCUUUAACCGAAAUACUCCCAGCUCAGCAAAUCCAUACAAAUCUAAAGGAGUCCAAGACAAUCUGCUCUGAAUUCCAUUUAAAUUCCCCAGAUUUCAUGGCCAUAGUGCAGUUUACCAAAUCCAUCUUUGUGGCAUGAUAGUCUGCAUGGUGCAGCACAUGGUCUCUGGCCCUAAUAUGAUUUAUCUUGUAAGAUUCAAGUCUGUGACUGGGGCAGGUGCAGUAGCUGGCAUGGCUCAUGAGCAGAGAAUGUGCCAAAUUAUCUUGGCCAAGACAAGUUGGCUGGGCUAAAGUAAAAAAGUAGAGGAGGAAUGAUGCUUUGAUUCAUUUAUUAACAAGAACAUAUGAGCCUAAACUAGUCUAUCUAGCAAACAGAGAAAUAAAAGCAGCUGCAGAGUUUGAUCUGCAUCUCAGACACCUUUGUUAGAAGAAGUGCUUGUGCUCUCUUUUGACUGUACCGGAAGCCAACUGUAUGCCAGACUGCAACAUCUACCUCAUGACAGAUAAUCUCAGGUAAGCUUAACUUUACUUCUUCUUACUCUGUUUGGUGUCUAGAAGCAUCGGAUCUGAAGGAAGCUGAGCUCCCACCUGAUGGCAUGGCUUUUGUAUUAACGUGUGAAAUGUACAGAAAAGUAAUGCCAAACCUGAAAUCCUGAAGAUAUUCUACCCAAGAAGUUACCUACUAAAAUGCUUGGCAGUGAAGCUCCCAUUUACCUGAAUUAGGUCAACCAGAUCAGUCGUAUUAUCUUAGAAUGGUUUGGGGCAGAACCGAGUUUUGAAAAGCAAGAUUUUUCACAGGAAGGAAACUCUCGCUUCUAAUAGUCACUUCUAAUAAUGUACCCCACUUCUAAUGCAAUCACCAAGCACUGGAGAAGAAAAAGCUCACCAGCAUGUAUCUUCUGUCUGUCUUACCACCUGUGUCCACCAAAGCAGCAUUAGGUGGUAUUAAAAAGAUGGAAUAUAAGUUUUCAUAACACUUAAAGAUUUCCAGUGAUAAAUUUUCAUAGUGAUUGGGACAGAGUUGCUCAGGCACCAAAACAGAACCACAUCACCAGCCAGUGGCCAUCAGCAGGUUGCUGACUUCACUAGAAUUGGUUGUUUAUCUUUAGCUGAGAUACUGAAAUUUAUUCACUUUCUGUUUCUUGAUUUAAUGCAAGUUUAGUGCAGGAAUUCCAUCCAAACUGCAUAAACAAUUAUUUUCAUUUCUUGUGGUGGUGGGUUACUCUCAGGCAGCAGUCAGCAGCCCUCAAAACUGCUCACUCACUUCAUCCUUUUUCAACAGAACAGGAAGAGAAAAUAGGAUGGAAAAGCUUGCGGGUUGAGAUAAAGACAGGGAGAUUUCUUAUCAGUUACCAUCAUGGGCAAAACACAUUUGACUUGUGGAAAACUAAUUUUUUUAUUGCCAAUUGAGACAGACUUGGGUAGUGUGAAAAAAAAGACAAAUAUUAAAAUGGCACCUUCUCCCUCCUUCUUCUCUUGUUCACACUACUAUUUCUUUCUAUUAUUUCUUCCCUCCUUAGAUGCCUGUGAGGUAUUUUCUAAGCUUUCUUAGAUUUGUUAUCACCCUUUCUUAGAUAUGUACCACCACCUUGGCUGGGGGCUUCAGCCGUGCUCUCUGUGGCUUUGGUUGGAGCUGACUGGAGCUGGCUGUGUUCAGUCUGGGAGAGCCCUGGCCUUCUCUCACAAGGGCCACUUCUGCAGUUCCCCACUACCAAAAACUAGCCUCCUACACCCAAUGCACUUGUCCACAAAGUUUUUCUUUCCUUUUGCUGUUAGUUCUGUCAUACACAACUAGCUUACCAUGUGUUCAUUUAACUGACCAGUGUUCUAAGAGAAAAGUUAACCAUUUGCAUCUGUUCAGACUUUAAAGAAUACACAGUUUUCCAAGAUGUGCUACAGAGAUGGUUAGGGACCUAGACCAUAUGGCCUUUGAAGAGAUAUGAAGAGAGAUUAGUUUAUUUAGUCUUGUGAAGAGAAAAUCAAGGGGCAAUCUAACAUCUGCCCGUAUUUGAAAAGCAGUAGAAAACAUGAGCAUCAGUCUCUUCUCAGUACUCUGAGUUGUUUGGAUAUAAAUUUGUGGCCUGGACAUAAGAAAGCAAAUAAGCAGACAGCAAACAAGAAAAUGUUCUGUCUUUAUUUUGCAUACAGUACACUGCAUUUCCAAAAGGAGGAUUAUGAAAUCCCUUGCAAUUUUCUUACGAAAAAAAUAAUUGAACCUUUGAUGAACCCUAAAUCUAAGAUGAUCUUGUUUUUUGCCGGAGAAAGCUUCAGAUGUCUUGGCACUAUUCUAAAAUGUGUUGGGAAACAAAGGCAAAUACUCAGGUAGUUAUGCCAUGUAUUAUUUAGUAGAGAAAAUUAAAUCUGUUUGUGGGAAAUUAAGAUACAACUUAGAAAUUAAAAUCAGAUGAGGCAAUACAAUUGCCCAAACUCUAAAAAACGCUGCAAUAAAUGUAAAUAACUACUGGUAAAUUAGUUUAAGCAUUAUCAAUGCCAUUUUUUAUCUCGCAGCCAUCUGCUUUUUAAUAGCAUACUCAUCCUUUUCUAGAAUUUCAAGCCAGUAGUGAUCUGAAUUUUAUUAUUCAGUAUACUAUGUUUCUUUUUACCACAGGCACUGUGCAGCAUGAUGCAUCUCAAGCCUCCAGGCACUUCCACACCAUGUCUACAUAGACUGAGGACAUAGGUCACGAAGUAAGAAAAGUAAGCUGAAAGGAAGACCACUGUGCAAGUCCAAAGGGAGGGCAAGGUGAAUCUACAGUUCCGUCUAUUUAGGCAAUAAAAUAUAAGAUCCUAUGGAGACUGGCUUUAAAACUACAGCUGGCAAUAAAGACCAAGUAGGAAACAGGAAACAGUAUGAGCUAACGGGCACUGCAAGCAUAAAUCUUCACUGCUUCCUUUCUGGAUUGUGGAUAUCCCAAAAUGAAAACUACACAGUUACAGCAAGACAACCUCUAGGAGGCUGCAAAAGAAUGCUCAUGGGUUGACUGCACUGCUAUGAAAUAGACUCUGAAGGCUGACAGAAUAUUUCAGCUACUCUCCAUCUGAACCAUAUUUAAGCAAGUGUUGUGGAUAUCUUCCUGAAUUCUCUUUCCAGGCUACAGUGGAUACAUGGACAAUUGAAGUUAAAAAAACUAACAAACAAACAAAAAAAAACCACCACACAACAACAACAACAAAAAAGGCAACUUUUGCCUGUCUAAUGCACAUUUACACUUUGUUAGAUAUCUAAAAUAAACUGAACUUAUGCAGAUGUAGACUGUAUCUCUUUUGAACUGUACAGCCAUCCCAGUGACUGCAAUUCCUGUUGUGCAAUACCUGGAUAGCAAUUAAUUAGUGACACAGUUCUCAAUCUGUUCUUUUCCUGUGCUUCAUAUCAGUGACUUAGAGGUGUGACUUUGCAACAUUACUUCUUCUAAGACUGAUGAAAUUCUGGUGCUUUUGAUUGCUUGCCACAGCCACUUGCCCCAUUAAGAUUUUGCUGUAAGAAAUACGUUGUUACUUAAUCUUGCUUUGGAAAAGCUGGAGAACAACAGAAGAGCUCUGACAAUCUAAAAAAUACGAUUUAGACACAAAUAUCUUUGUUUGAUUUCAGUCCUUUUGUAUCUGAGUACCAACAUGAGAUUUUUCAACUGAUACAAACAGAAACCAAAUAAUAAUUUACUUCUGAAGCUUAUUGAGUAAGGUGAAUUUUGAUUGACAAAGCAGGAUAAAAACAAGUCAUACUAUGAAUGACCUUUAUUGUUUCAGUGAGUUGCUAUAUCUGUAAAUUUCAUAAUAGCUAAUCCCAUUUUAUAAAUACAUGUAUUUAACUAUUUAUAUUUUAUC